AGAGUUUGAUCCUGGCUCAGAACGAACGCUGGCGGCAGGCUUAACACAUGCAAGUCGAACGCUCAUCUUCGGGUGGGAGUGGCAGACGGGUGAGUAACGCGUGGGAACGUACCCUUUGGUUCGGAACAACGCCGGGAAACUGGCGCUAAUACCGGAUACGCCCUUUUGGGGAAAGGCUUGACUGCCGAAGGAGCGGCCCGCGUUCGAUUAGCUUGUUGGUGGGGUAACGGCCCACCAAGGCGACGAUCGAUAGCUGGUCUGAGAGGAUGGCCAGCCACAUUGGGACUGAGACACGGCCCAAACUCCUACGGGAGGCAGCAGUGGGGAAUAUUGGACAAUGGGCGCAAGCCUGAUCCAGCCAUGCCGCGUGAGUGAUGACGGCCUUAGGGUUGUAAAGCUCUUUCGCACGCGACGAUAAUGACGGUAGCGUGAGAAGAAGCCCCGGCUAACUUCGUG
Molecule: ribosomal RNA, 456 nt
Filed under: uncultured Hyphomicrobiales bacterium
Lineage: Bacteria; Pseudomonadati; Pseudomonadota; Alphaproteobacteria; Hyphomicrobiales
Description: bacterial SSU rRNA
Rfam family: Bacterial small subunit ribosomal RNA
Source: RNAcentral